GAAUUCGAUUAACGCGAAGAACCUUACCCAGGCUUGAACUGCAGAUGACAUCCUACGAAAGUAGGCUUCCGCAAGGACAUCUGUAGAGGUGCUGCAUGGCUGUCGUCAGCUCGUGUCGUGAGAUGUUGGGUUAAGUCCCGCAACGAGCGCAACCCUUGUCUUCUGUUGCCAUCGGGUUAUGCCGGGCACUCUGAAGAGACUGCCGGUGACAAACCGGAGGAAGGUGGGGAUGACGUCAAGUCAGCAUGGCCUUUAUGUCUGGGGCCACACACGUGCUACAAUGGCCGGUACAAACCGUCGCGAUCCCGCGAGGGGGAGCUAAUCGGAGAAAGCCGGUCUCAGUUCGGAUUGCAGGCUGCAACUCGCCUGCAUGAAGUUGGAAUCGCUAGUAAUCGCGGAUCAGCACGCCGCGGUGAAUACGUUCCCGGGCCUUGUCACACCGAAUCACUA
Molecule: ribosomal RNA, 450 nt
Filed under: uncultured soil bacterium
Lineage: Bacteria
Description: bacterial SSU rRNA
Rfam family: Bacterial small subunit ribosomal RNA
Source: RNAcentral